AUUGAACGCUGGCGGCAUGCUUUACACAUGCGAGUCGAACGGCAGCGCGGGCUUCGGCCUGGCGGCGAGUGGCGAACGGGUGAGGAAUACAUCGGAACGUGCCCAGUAGUGGGGGAUAGCUCGGCGAAAGCCGGAUUAAUACCGCAUACGACCUGAGGGUGAAAGCGGGGGAUCUUCGGACCUCGCGCUAUUGGAGCGGCCGAUGGCAGAUUAGCUAGUUGGUGGGGUAAAGGCCUACCAAGGCGACGAUCUGUAGCUGGUCUGAGAGGACGACCAGCCACACUGGGACUGAGACACGGCCCAGACUCCUACGGGAGGCAGCAGUGGGGAAUUUUGGACAAUGGGCGAAAGCCUGAUCCAGCAAUGCCGCGUGUGUGAUGAAGGCCUUCGGGUUGUAAAGCACUUUUGGCGGGAACGAAAAGGACUGUGCCAAUACCACGGUUCGAUGACGGUACCCGCAGAAUAAGCACCGGCUAACUACGUG
Molecule: ribosomal RNA, 484 nt
Filed under: uncultured bacterium
Lineage: Bacteria
Description: partial 16S ribosomal RNA
Rfam family: Bacterial small subunit ribosomal RNA
Source: RNAcentral